AGAGUUUGAUCCUGGCUCAGAUUGAACGCUGGCGGCAGGCCUAACACAUGCAAGUCGAACGGUAACAUUUCUAGCUUGCUAGAAGAUGACGAGUGGCGGACGGGUGAGUAAUGCUUGGGAACUUGCCUUUGCGAGGGGGAUAACAGUUGGAAACGACUGCUAAUACCGCAUAAUGUCUUCGGACCAAACGGGGCUUCGGCUCCGGCGCAAAGAGAGGCCCAAGUGAGAUUAGCUAGUUGGUAAGGUAACGGCUUACCAAGGCGACGAUCUCUAGCUGUUCUGAGAGGAAGAUCAGCCACACUGGGACUGAGACACGGCCCAGACUCCUACGGGAGGCAGCAGUGGGGAAUAUUGCACAAUGGGGGAAACCCUGAUGCAGCCAUGCCGCGUGUGUGAAGAAGGCCUUCGGGUUGUAAAGCACUUUCAGUUGUGAGGAAAAGUUAGUAGUUAAUACCUGCUAGCCGUGACGUUAACAACAGAAGAAGCACCGGCUAACUCCGUGCCAGCAGCCGCGGUAAUACGGAGGGUGCGAGCGUUAAUCGGAAUUACUGGGCGUAAAGCGCACGCAGCGGUUUGUUAAGCUAGAUGUGAAAGCCCCGGGCUCAACCUGGGAUGGUCAUUUAGAACUGGCAGACUAGAGUCUUGGAGAGGGGAGUGGAAUUCCAGGUGUAGCGGUGAAAUGCGUAGAUAUCUGGAGGAACAUCAGUGGCGAA
RNAcentral lists this ribosomal RNA (713 nucleotides) under uncultured Alteromonas sp. Its description in RNAcentral is "bacterial SSU rRNA". It matches the Rfam family "Bacterial small subunit ribosomal RNA", at positions 8 to 719 of the family's 1533-position model. Lineage: Bacteria; Pseudomonadati; Pseudomonadota; Gammaproteobacteria; Alteromonadales; Alteromonadaceae. The record is from RNAcentral.